Capsicum annuum is the source of this 420-nucleotide long non-coding RNA. RefSeq lists it as uncharacterized. The transcript is spliced from 3 exons. Lineage: Eukaryota; Viridiplantae; Streptophyta; Magnoliopsida; Solanales; Solanaceae. The record is from RefSeq and is a predicted model, not a curated record.
AAAGGCAUUCAAGAGGAAUAGAAAAAAUGCACCAAGGCAUCGUGGGGAGCAAAAGUAUUGAAAGGCAUACACUCCUCAUAUAGGUGUGAUUUUCUCUUGGUUUGAGUAGAAAUUCUUCGUUAAGGUAUUUGGACAUCCUCACAGGAUUGAUUGAUAUGAUUCAUUGUUUGGAUCGGGUACCACUUCGGUAUAGUACAUGCAUAAAAGAUCAUCCCCUACAGUUCAUAACUAAUGGAAUAUCAUAAAUCUCUUAGCAUGUAUGUACAAGGUUGCAAAAUCAGUUGAUGUUUCACAGAUAAUGUGGAUAGUGAUCUCCAAUAUUUUUAUUCUGCUCAUUCAUAGUGAAAGUUGUGUCUUAUUUUUUUAUUCGUUAUACUAGAAGCUCUUGUGUAUUUGGACUAGGUCCUUAGAUGAUUUUCA